CCAUGCUAAUCCAUCAAAAGAAUUCUAAAAAAAAUUCCUUUUAAUUUGCAAAUCCAUUAGUCUUCACCACAGCACUUGUUGCAAACUGGGGGAAUCACCUCUAUGUUGCAGUCACAGCAGAAUUUCGGGCAUUUGUUCGUGCAUGCUGCGAAUACAGAAAACUUACAAUGUCAAACAGCAAUAUAAGUAAAACCCUAACAAAUUUAAUACAGAUUUAUUUUUAUAUGCGCUGACAAGAAAAUAAUUUUUAAUAUUAUUGGUGUAUUUUAGUUUACGUUGUAGCUGCAGAUGACCUAUCUUUUUUUUGGAAAAUUAAAAAUGAAUUCUAUGUCAUAAACCAAUCCAAGUCAAGAAUAUUUGUCAUAAUUUCAUUUGAAAGCUAAUGGUUAAACAUCUGCUUGCUGCAAAGUUAAAAGAGACUGGACGGUACAAAUAGUUUACUUCCUCAAUUUCAUUUAGAUACUAAGUUUAAAAAAAGAAUAACUUUUUGGUCAUAUCAAAAGUAUCUUUAGAACUUGUGUUCUUCAAAUAUAUCAUAAUAUUUUGUGACUAUAAGAGCAUAUUAUUGAAGGUAAAAAGAAAAAAUUAAGGUUAAAUAGUUUCAAAAUAUAAAGUUCAUCUUGUGAAAAAGAUGAAUAACAUCGUUUAAAAUGAAAAUGAAAGAAUAGUACGGUAGACAAUAACAUCUAAUGCUCGUCCAUGCUGCAAACGGCUGACGACAAGCGGCUUUUGGGCAUUUGAUCCAGCUUCAACUAUACAAGUUAUGGAGGCCAACAGAACAAGAACAAAGGCGAAUGUUAUGAAUUUUGUCAUGGUUUCACGAAUCCAAUAAUAA
This 835-nucleotide long non-coding RNA is filed under the name Nicotiana benthamiana. Its description in RNAcentral is "long non-coding RNA (NBEN_LNC019295)". The record is from RNAcentral. Lineage: Eukaryota; Viridiplantae; Streptophyta; Magnoliopsida; Solanales; Solanaceae.